CGCGUGUAGCAAUACACGAGUGGCGCACGGGUGAGUAACGCGUGGAUAUCUGCCUUUUGGUUCGGAAUAACCCCGGGAAACUGGGGCUAAUACCGGAUGGUUCCUUCGGGAUAAAGAUUUAUCGCCAAAAGAUGAGUCCGCGUACGAUUAGCUAGUUGGUGAGGUAAUGGCUCACCAAGGCGACGAUCGUUAGCUGGUCUGAGAGGACGAUCAGCCACACUGGGACUGAGACACGGCCCAGACUCCCUACGGGAGGCAGCAGUGGGGAAUAUUGGACAAUGGGCGCAAGCCCUGAUCCAGCCAUGCCCGCGUGAGUGAUGAAGGCCUUCGGGUUGUAAAGCUCUUUUGGCGGGGACGAUGAUGACGGUACCCGCAGAAUAAGCCCCGGCUAACUUCGUGCCAGCAGCCGCGGUAAGACGAAGGGGGCUAGCGUUGUUCGGAAUUACUGGGCGUAAAGCGAGUGUAGGUGGUUAUCCAAGUUGGAUGUGAAAGCCUUGAGCUCAACUCAAGAAAUGCAUUCAGGACUGGAUGGCUAGAGGACCGGAGAGGAUAGUGGAAUUCUCAGUGUAGUGGUGAAAUACGUAGAGAUU
RNAcentral lists this ribosomal RNA (590 nucleotides) under uncultured bacterium. RNAcentral describes it as "bacterial SSU rRNA". It matches the Rfam family "Bacterial small subunit ribosomal RNA", at positions 67 to 698 of the family's 1533-position model. The record is from RNAcentral.